RNAcentral lists this ribosomal RNA (424 nucleotides) under Hyalinobatrachium mondolfii group sp. ABGD cluster 13. RNAcentral describes it as "partial large subunit ribosomal RNA". It matches the Rfam family "Bacterial large subunit ribosomal RNA", at positions 1834 to 2457 of the family's 2925-position model. Lineage: Eukaryota; Metazoa; Chordata; Amphibia; Anura; Centrolenidae. The record is from RNAcentral.
CUUGAAUAAAUAUAAGAGGUCCAGCCUGCCCAGUGACAAUGUUCAACGGCCGCGGUAUCCUAACCGUGCGAAGGUAGCGUAAUCACUUGUUCUUUAAAUAAGGACUAGUAUGAACGGCACCACGAAGGUUACACUGUCUCCUCUUUCUAAUCAGUGAAACUAAUCUCCCCGUGAAGAAGCGGGGAUAAAAAUAUAAGACGAGAAGACCCUAUGGAGCUUUAAACUACAAGGCACUUGCCCCCAUAUAAUCAAAUUCCAGAAAAUCAUUACCACCCAGGCAACAUGACCUUUAGUUUUAGGUUGGGGUGACCGCGGAGCAAAGAAAAACCUCCACAUUGAAAGGAGACCUCUCCUUAGCCAAGAGCCACACCUCUAAGCACCAACAAAAAGACAUUAAUUGACCCAAUAUUUUUGAUCAACGAAC